UGGAGGAUGUUAGAUUUUCUUAAUGUUCUGUACGUUUCCCAGCAACCCGGCAACAGGACGUUGCCGGGAGCGAGACUUGAGCCAUGGAUGGCGAAUGUCAAGCGGUUGCGUCAAGCCAAAACAAAUAAAACCAGAACAUUUAGAAAAUCUUAUAUCCGUA
Molecule: non-coding RNA, 160 nt
Filed under: uncultured Agathobacter sp.
Lineage: Bacteria; Bacillati; Bacillota; Clostridia; Lachnospirales; Lachnospiraceae
Source: RNAcentral